RNAcentral lists this unclassified non-coding RNA (386 nucleotides) under Hevea brasiliensis (rubber tree). Lineage: Eukaryota; Viridiplantae; Streptophyta; Magnoliopsida; Malpighiales; Euphorbiaceae. The record is from RNAcentral.
GUUUUUAUUUCCUGAAACUUUCACUUAAACAAAACCAAGAGUCCAUUUUAUAUUCUCCUCCUUCAAUUGCUUCUUCUUCUUCUCAUUUGUUUGUGUUUCUUUUUCCUCACCAGAUAACGUACGGCAGCAUUCUGGUCUGGGACAUGCAUAGCAGAACACAUAAUGCAGGGUGGGGGCAAGAGUGAGCAGAUUAGGUAACUAUGUUUCUAUCUAAUGAAUUUUACUGAAGAUAUGUACAUGAGCAAUCAAAAAUUUCAGUGGAGCACAUAAGCCAACAAUUCGGACUUAUUUCUCUCCCACCCCCAAAAUAAGAACAUAAUAUUUCACUUUCAGUUUCUUUAAUCAAGAAUAUGUAUAUAUAUAUAAAAUAAAGGGCAGAUAACAAA